CAAAAAGAUAAACCAGGCCCAGCAUUAGAAGAAGCCAAUACGAAGUAUAAAACAUACAGAGACUACGUUGUCCAAAAUUAUUACUCUAAUGCCAGCAAUUCGUUACUUACAAGCACGGCAAGUAUUUGAGUUUUAAUUUGUAUUUAACCAUGUUUGUUUCCUUGGGGAUUAUUCAGUUUAUUGCCUAUAACAUGUUAAUUACAAACAGCUUGUUUCAACCAUGUUUGCAACGCUGAAGAAAGUGCUUUUGAGACUAAAAACCCUGGUUCCAGGCAAUUAUGAACGCUUGCGCCAUGCCAAAAAGCUAAUCUCUACAUUGUAGAAACUGAAAACCGCAGUGUCUAAGAUUGAAAAACACCUUCACAUAACAAGUGAAGAAGCCAAGAACUGAAACUCGAGGUCACUAAGUUAGCCAAUAAAUUGAAGCUAAUCCUCAAUGAACUUGACACUGUAGGUCAACAAGCACCAGGAAGAAUUGAGGCCUCUAAUUGUGCUGCUAAGGUACAUGGUUAUAUGGAUUACGGCUUCUUAUUCUCUUAUCGACUUCACAAUAGGCUUGAGAAGAUCAUCAAUAAAUUCAAUCGUCUUGUAAAUUCAAGUUUGAUCCUCAUGUGCUUAUUGUCAUAUGGAAUUGGAUGAAACAAUACGCCAAACACUUGGUGUGCAUAUUCUGAUGAACCUGCACAAGUUACUUAUGUCGCAUCUACAAUGUGAAUCCACUAGCAUGUCUCCAUUGUUUAUAAACCUCACAAGCUUCAUAUAUUCUCCCAUCAUAACAACAAUGUACAUCCCUUCCAAUAUCCAACCAUACCAUACUUUUCUGUCACCCACGUGAAAACAUGUAUUACUUCCGGCUAGAUACUGUACGCUGCAAGCUUCUUCCCUAGCACAGCCAAAGAAAACUCUAGUUUCCAUUUGGAAUCUAGUUGAUUUCACUCUUUAAACUCCUCGUUUGGGAGUUUUGGGUGGUUUUAGAGUUCCUCUUUGAAGCAAUGGUUUCGGGGCUUUUCAGGCCGAUUUUG
RNAcentral lists this long non-coding RNA (1022 nucleotides) under Olea europaea subsp. europaea. Lineage: Eukaryota; Viridiplantae; Streptophyta; Magnoliopsida; Lamiales; Oleaceae. The record is from RNAcentral.